CCCAGACUCCUACGGGAGGCAGCAGUGGGGAAUAUUGGGCAAUGGGCGCAAGCCUGACCCAGCAACGCCGCGUGAAGGAAGAAGGCUUUCGGGUUGUAAACUUCUUUUAAGAGGGAAGAGUAGAAGACGGUACCUCUUGAAUAAGCCACGGCUAACUACGUGCCAGCAGCCGCGGUAAUACGUAGGUGGCAAGCGUUGUCCGGAUUUACUGGGUGUAAAGGGCGCGUAGCCGGGCUGACAAGUCAGAUGUGAAAUCCGGGGGCUCAACCCGGGCCGGCCGUUGAAACUGGGGAUCUUGAGUGGGCGAGAAGUAUGCGGGAUGCGUGGUGUAGCGGUGAAAUGCAUAGAUAUCACGCAGAACUCCGAUUGCGAAGGCAGCAUACCGGCGCCCGACUGACGCUGAGGCACGAAAGCGUGGGGAUCGAACAGGAUUAGAUACCCGAGUAG
This 447-nucleotide ribosomal RNA is filed under the name uncultured bacterium. Its description in RNAcentral is "partial 16S ribosomal RNA". It matches the Rfam family "Bacterial small subunit ribosomal RNA", at positions 330 to 793 of the family's 1533-position model. The record is from RNAcentral.